Long non-coding RNA from Lolium rigidum, 305 nucleotides. RefSeq lists it as uncharacterized. The record is from RefSeq and is a predicted model, not a curated record. Lineage: Eukaryota; Viridiplantae; Streptophyta; Magnoliopsida; Poales; Poaceae. The transcript is spliced from 3 exons.
CUUGUGUCUAGAGGCGUGCACGUGACCUGUUGUGGCUAAUCGGUGCAGCAGGGGAAUGCACAGCGCAAUUGGUGUAUCCUUCUGGGGAAGUGAGUGCUGCCUCCAGCCCUCGACCAUCUUCAUUACUUGCACGAGGAUGGACGAUUCCUUCUGGGGAAGUGAGUGCUGCCUCCAGCCCUCGACAAUCUUCAUUACUUGCACGAGGAAGGACGAUUUGAGAGCGGCGUGGAGGGGCAGACGAUGGCGAGCGCGACCAAAUUGAUGCGCAGUUCAGAGCUCUAUGCCCCCUUUCUCCAUAACUUUCC